This 484-nucleotide ribosomal RNA is filed under the name uncultured bacterium. RNAcentral describes it as "partial 16S ribosomal RNA". It matches the Rfam family "Bacterial small subunit ribosomal RNA", at positions 30 to 507 of the family's 1533-position model. The record is from RNAcentral.
AUUGAACGCUGGCGGCAUGCCUAACACAUGCAAGUCGAGCGGAUGAAGGGAGCUUGCUCCUGUAUUCAGCGGCGGACGGGUGGGUAAUGCCUAGGAAUCUGCCUUGUAGUUGGGGAUAACGUCCGGAAACGGGCGCUAAUACCGCAUACGUCCUGAUGGAGAAAGUGGGGGAUCUUCGGACCUCACGCUAUCAGAUGAGCCUAGGUCGGAUUAGCUAGUUGGUUGGGUAAAGGCCUACCAAGGCGACGAUCCGUAACUGGUCUGGGAGGAUGAUCAGUCACACUGGAACUGAGACACGGUCCAGACUCCUACGGGAGGCAGCAGUGGGGAAUAUUGGACAAUGGGCGAAAGCCUGAUCCAGCCAUGCCGCGUGUGUGAAGAAGGUCUUCGGAUUGUAAAGCACUUUAAGUUGGGAGGAAGGGCAGUAAGUUAAUACCUUGCUGUUUUGACGUUACCAAAAGAAUAAGCACCGGCUAACUUCGUG